RNAcentral lists this transfer RNA (74 nucleotides) under Pteropus alecto (black flying fox). It matches the Rfam family "tRNA". From Rfam's summary of the family: Transfer RNA (tRNA) molecules are approximately 80 nucleotides in length. The record is from Rfam by way of RNAcentral. Lineage: Eukaryota; Metazoa; Chordata; Mammalia; Chiroptera; Pteropodidae.
GGCUCCAUAGUGUGGUGGUUAGCACGUUUGCUUUACAUGCAGAAGGUCCUGGGUUCGCACCCCAGGUGGAGCCA